Molecule: ribosomal RNA, 406 nt
Filed under: uncultured bacterium
Lineage: Bacteria
Description: partial 16S ribosomal RNA
Rfam family: Bacterial small subunit ribosomal RNA
Source: RNAcentral
AUUGAACGCUGGCGGCAGGCCUAACACAUGCAAGUCGAACGAGUGGCGGACGGGUGAGUAAUGUCUGGGAAACUGCCUGAUGGAGGGGGAUAACUACUGGAAACGGUAGCUAAUACCGCAUACCAUCGGAUGUGCCCAGGUGGGAUUAGCUAGUAGGUGGGGUAAAGGCUCACCUAGGCGACGAUCCCUAGCUGGUCUGAGAGGAUGACCAGCCACACGGGAACGGAGACACGGCCCAGACUCCGACGGGAGGCAGCAGUGGGGAAUAUUACACAAUGGGCGCAAGCCGUAUGCAGCCAUGCCGCGUGUAGGAAGAAGGCGUUCGGGUUGUAAAGUACUUUCAGCGGGGAGGCGUUACCCGAAGAAUAAGCACCGGCUAACUACGUGCCAGCCGCCGGGGUAAUUC